RNAcentral lists this non-coding RNA (28 nucleotides) under Rattus norvegicus (Norway rat). Lineage: Eukaryota; Metazoa; Chordata; Mammalia; Rodentia; Muridae. The record is from RNAcentral.
UGUGAUUGCACUGUGAUGGUUGGUAGUA